Long non-coding RNA from Pteropus alecto (black flying fox), 4402 nucleotides. RefSeq lists it as uncharacterized. The transcript has 2 exons. The record is from RefSeq and is a predicted model, not a curated record. NCBI's taxonomy places the organism in Eukaryota, Metazoa, Chordata, Mammalia, Chiroptera, Pteropodidae.
ACCUAGUUUCCCCUAUUGAUAAAUAACUUCUAUUAGAUGUUACUAACAUCACAUCUAAUGAACCAAUAUUGAUGAAUUGUUAUUAUUUAUACCAAUUUAAUGCAUUGCUAUUAACUGAAGUCUAUGCUUUAUUCAGAUUUCUUUAGUUUUCACCUAAUAUUCCUUGUCUGUUCCAGGCUCCCAUCUAGAAUGCCACAUCAUAUUUAACCUUUAUGUCUCUUUAGGCUCUACAGACUCUGUUUUUCAGACUUCUACUUUUUUUUUUUUUUUGACUUUGACAAUUUUUAGGAGUACUGGUCAGGUAUUUUGUAGAAUAUCCCUCGGUUAGCAUUUGUCUGAUGUUUUUCUCAUAAUAAUGUGGUUGUAACUUUUGGUGAGAGAACCACAGAAGUGCCAUUCUCUUCACAUCAUAUCAAGGGUACAUACUAUCAACAUGACUCAUCGCUGUUGAGGUUGACCUUGGUCAUCUGGCUUAGGUCAUAUUUGUCCAUUUUCUCUACAGUGAAAUUACUCUUUUUCUGUCUUUCUUUCCACACUGUGUUCUUUGGAAGAAAGUCACUAAUCAGAGACCACACUGACGAGAUCUGAUCAGAAGUCCUGGGUCAUGGAGUGCAUGUCUGAGAUAGAACUGAGGACAAUGAAUCAUCUGAGCGCCAAAGGUGUGAGCAAGAAGCCUGACAACUCUGUGGCCUCUCAACUCGGACAUUACUGUACUUUUUUGUUUGAUCGUGAUCCAGUGACACAACCUUCGGUGAUUCAGCUUUUCCAUCUUCCUGGCCCCACGUUCCAUUCAGUUUGCUGUGCAGAAGUCCCAAGAUAAACAGCUUGCUAAAAGAGAAUCAGCAUGAAUAAUUUUUUUUUUUUUUUUAAAAGAAAGACAAUGCCAAGGAACUGCUUCCAGGCUUUUGCUGAUGGCUUCACUCCUAGCUUUAGUCCCCACCCUGUGUCCUACAUUCAUUCUUGGUUUUGCUCUUAGCUCAGCUUGCUGUGGACUAUCUGCCCACCGUCGGCAGCAGAGAACCUAGCUCUACUUCAAAAGGCUAAAGGAGGGAAAUUGUCUUUGCUAUCCUCAUCAUUCUUGCAUCAGUUUUUCUCACUGAGACCUUCUUCCUCCUAAAAGACCUGCCAUUAGACCUCACCCAUCAACACUGGCAUGCAGCUCUGUGUUUCUAAACUUCAAAAAUGCACAAAUCUUUAAAAGAAAAAAAUCUCACUUCUCAAGAAAUGAUCCCAAUGACCAGUGCAAAAGAGUUGUGACUUUAUAGCUAAUAAAAAUAUUAUAUGAUUGCAAAAGUAACAUUACAACAAUGUAAAAAGAUACACAUGAGAAUUCCCGUGGGUCUAUUUUAGAAAUACCAUUACAGUUUUAAAUGUUAGUCUUUCACCUGGUAUUAAAGUUUUGACAAAGAUCAGAAUUUUAAGCAAACAGGAUGAAGCUUAGAUGAUAGGAUUUGGGGCAUCAAGUAUGUGCAGGAAGAAGCAGGGGCAAACUGGAAUUCUUUUGAACAAUUCUAGGAUAAUGUGACAUUGUUAAUUACCAAUUGUGUCUAUUUUUGAGGCUGGCCUUGACGAAAUUUCUGAUUGAAGCAAUUCAGGUAACUUUUAAAAUAAGGUCAACCUACUAAAUUGAAAGAGACCAGACAGAGAUCUCUUUACCUACCCCCAAGGAUGUGGCAAUUACAGUAUCUGUUCUCUUAAGGAAAGAGCAAAUUUGGAACUGGUUGUCAAGAUACUUGCUGUACCAAUCUGACACUUAAAUGAUUUUUAAAAAUAAUAUUUAUUUUAACCAUGAGAAAUUUGAAAAUAAUCUCCGAUAUUAUUAACCAGAAAUCAAUCUUCUCAUUUACUUUUUAAAAAUUGGCUUGGAGAUUAUUUUUUUGAAUAAUAGAGCUCAUCAUAUUUUCCAAUGUGCAUUGCAGCAGAACUAACAUGUUUUUUUUGUUGUUGGUUUUUUUUUUUUUUUUCUGUAAGCCUGCAUCCUUACAUUUACAUGUCGUUUUCAUUCUCAGGCAUAAAACUAGUUUUUUCUCCCCAUCAAACUAAUUUUUAUUAAUUGGAUUUCCACUUGCAUGCCAGGCAGAGGAAAAUGUAGAGGUGAGCACAGACAGUUAAGGUCUUCCCAUCACAGCAAAGGGAAGAGAGGCCCGAGUCAGAGAAACAAGAGUUUAGUAAGAUCAGAUCUGUUCUCAACAUAAUGACUUCUGAGCAUGUCAUCACCUGCCUGUCUGGGACCCAUGCUUAUGUCAUGACCACAUGUUUGGGAUCUGUGUACUCACACAUAUCCAGCUAUAUUUCUCAAACCUCUCCUCAUUUUAUGAUGAAAGUAAAACUUUUUGCAUUUAGGGAACUAAUAAUAUCCAGUGGCCAGGCCAAAGCCAGUUCAUUCACCUCACUCAGCAGAUGGACAUAAAUCAAUAAAGAUAAAGAAAGAGAUCAUGGCUCGGGAAGCAGCCCUGCAUGGCUUUCAAGAGCCUGAAUUGUACUUCCUAUUAUUCACAAGCCAGAGUGAAAGAGUCCACCUCCUGGGUGUUCUGCUAAAUGGACAAAUCGGCAUGGCUUCUCCCCGACUGCCAACCCACCAAGCAGCUGAGGCUCCUGAUGGUCAGCCAGCAGUGUGCCUGGCCCAUUCUGGAUGUGGGCAAGUGUUGGAUAAUUGUGGCCUUGUCCAAAUCAGAGAUGCAGAGUUCUCAUGGCAGGCCAUAGGUAAACGUGCUUUCUUUGCUGAAAAAUCCACUCUCUUCCUUGGUAUCAAGAUGAAGUUGAUAUCAGAGUGUGGGCAUCCGUGAGCACAUGGCUACUUCUCUUAGAAUAUUUACUUUUGCUUAUUAGAAUCACUUCACUUUUGAAAUCCAGUUAUUUUGGGUCCCAAAGAAACUUAUUUGUGAUCUGCACAAAUUUGGGUUUCAGAGAUGUUUUGGAUUCCAUAAACUCACCCCACCCAUCCAAAUGUAAUAAUUUACAUUUAAACAUUUUUUUUUCUCUAAGCACCUGAGAGAUAAAACAUUUUUUCUAACCACUAGUCAUUAGUAUGUAUGGGCAAUUGGAUCCACCUCUUCUUCAUUCAUUCAUAUCCGUUGUUCUUACUGCAUUAAAACAGAAUUUCGUAGGAGAAAUAUUUUAUGAGUUUGGAUUGUUUCUAACCUUUUGUUCUUACGAAUUCUCUUGCAAUAAAUAGUCUAUUACUCAUUUUAUGUUUUUGCCAGUAUAUCUUUGGGAUAGUUUUCAGAAAAAUGGUGAGUCAAAAAAUAAAGAAAAUGUAUUUUUUCCUGGUUAUUAUCAAAUUUCUGUCAAUAAGAAUGCCAUUUUGCAUUCUCCCUACCAGCUUAUGAGAGCGUCUGUUUUCCUAAUGGCAUCCAUAGUGUAUUCUGUCAAAGUUUUGAUUUUUUUUCUCAAUCUGAUAGGUGAGAAAUACUUUUUUUCUCAACCUGUAUUUCUCCUACUGAGAGUCUGAUUUAGCAUCCUUUAUAUGUUUAUGGGUCAUUGCAUUUUUUUUAUUGGUGAAAGGUCUGCUCAUAUCUCUUACUCAUUUUUCAAUCAAGUGGUUGGCCUUUUUUUCCUCAGGUGCUCUUAAUUUGUUAGGGGUAUUAAACCUUUGUCUGUGAUAUAAGGUGCAAAUAUAAUAUUUGCAAUUUGUCUUCUUACUUUGCAUGUAUUAUUUUUAGACAAAGAUUUUUAAAAUGCAGUCAAAUUGCCAUUAACUUCUUAUUGUUUAUAUGUUUUUAAAUUAUAGUAUAAAAAUUUAUAAAGGGAUUCAUUCUAAUAUUCUCCAAAGAUAUGUAUGAUUUUAUUUUUUACCUGUAGAUUACUAAUUUAUUUGGAAUUUUUCUUCAUGUAUGAUGUGAGGAAUGAAUGCAAAUUUAUCUUUUAGAUUUGGCUCUCUAGUCACCUAUCAAAAAGUUCUGCUUUCUUGCAUUUAUUUAAAAUGCCAAUUUCAUCAUUUAGUCUCAUAUUCUAAAUAUUAUAAUAUACUAAGUUUCCAGAUGCAAUUGAGUAUAUUUCUAGCUUUACUGUCCUAUUCCAUUGGUAUAUCUGAUUACUUUUCAAAUUUGAUUUUUCUCUUCCCUAACUUCUUUUUCCGUUACAGGUGCUAAAGAUUCACAAUUUUUUUUUUUAAAGGUAGGAUGUAUAAAAAAAGAGAGAGAGAGAGAGAGAAAGACCAUUACCAUUCACAUGCUAAAUAAGUGCUCAUCAAUGUAAAACUCAAUAUUGAAAGCCAUGGCAAUUUUUUAACAUCAAGUGAUCUUCACUCAGAACCUUAUGUCUAUUACUAAAUUCUGCUAUUCCUGAGAUUUUUCUCAUAUAUGAAGAAGGAACUCCUCCCCCACCCAAAAAAGAUUCAAUCAAAAUUACUCUUCACGACAAAACUCUUUCAAAAGUAAAAGUACCCAUUGGUUGCCGCUUA